GCUCUGACCAACAGAUUGGAGUUGCAGUAGACGAUACACGGUUCUCCAAGGACUAUUCCACUUGGGUCCUUUCUGUUUUGCAUGUAAAUCAACAAAAAUCCUUCUCCAAAUGCGAUUAGAUAGAUGGAGAUUUAGGAUUUUCAAAGGAAACCGCAAUGAAUUUUUUGGGUAAACGGAGCAAAGAAGAAAAAGAAGAGAAAUCAUGAUUAACGCUGGUUGUAAAAUGAAACCCGUAUUAUUUUUCGUGUGAAGAGCGUCACAUAAAGAGAUUAAAGAGUUGAUAGUGAAGGAAAAAGAGGGAACGAAAAUCGAACCGAAUGUUACAGAUGAAGAAAACAUCUCGUUUUGGUUUGCGCAAGAAUUUCAGAGGCGGAGAAGAAUGAUUCCCAAGCGCCAAUCAAAAUGAAACUACCGUACACAAUUGUGUAGGUGAACAACCAUUGUUGUUGGAAAUAUCCGGAUGAAUUAUAAUUUCUAUUGAUGUUUAUUAAGUAAUUUUUCUUAUUCUGGAU
RNAcentral lists this long non-coding RNA (512 nucleotides) under Olea europaea subsp. europaea. The record is from RNAcentral. Lineage: Eukaryota; Viridiplantae; Streptophyta; Magnoliopsida; Lamiales; Oleaceae.